GACAGAGGAGCCAAGCGUUGUCCGGAUUGACUGGGCGUAAAGCGCACGCAGGCGGCCCGGCGCGUGGGGUGUGAAAGCUGGCGGCUUAACUGCCAGACGCCAUCCCAUACGGCUGGGCUCGAGCCCUGCAGAGGUCCAUGGAAUUGCCGGUGUAGUGGUGAAAUGCGUAGAGAUCGGCAGGAACACCCAGGGGGAAACCAGUGGACUGGGCAGGAGCUGACGCUCAGGUGCGAAAGCGUGGGGAGCGAACCGG
This 253-nucleotide ribosomal RNA is filed under the name uncultured bacterium. RNAcentral describes it as "partial 16S ribosomal RNA". It matches the Rfam family "Bacterial small subunit ribosomal RNA", at positions 524 to 776 of the family's 1533-position model. The record is from RNAcentral.